GCUGCCCCAGAUUAGCCAUGCACGUCUAGUACAAACUAAAUGAUGGUGAAACUGCAAAUGGCUCAUUACAACGGUUAUGAUGUACCCGGGAGUUCCGAUGGAUAUUUCCAGUAACACUAGAACUAAUACAUGUCCCUGCGUUUAUUAGUUUCGCACAGUCCGUCGCUGAGUCAUGGUAAACAGUUGAUCGACUCGACGUCCCGGAACAGUUUCCGCCCCAUCAGCUUCGAUGGUUGGGUAUUGGCCUACCAUUGCAACAACGGGUAACGAGGAAUUAGGGUUUGAUUUCGGAGAGGGAGCCUGAGAAACGGCUACCACAUCUACGGAUGGCAGCAGGCGCGCAAAUUACCCAAUGCAGACACUGUGAGGUAGUGACGAGAAAUAAUAAAGCGGGACUUCUGUUUCGCUAUUAUAAUGAGGAAUAACCAAAGGUCAUUCCGAUUAGCAACUGAUGGGAAAGUCUGGUGCCAGCAGCCGCGGUAAUACCAGCGUCAGUAGCA
Molecule: ribosomal RNA, 500 nt
Filed under: uncultured Myrionecta
Lineage: Eukaryota; Ciliophora; Litostomatea; Cyclotrichida; Mesodiniidae
Description: SSU rRNA
Rfam family: Eukaryotic small subunit ribosomal RNA
Source: RNAcentral